RNAcentral lists this long non-coding RNA (789 nucleotides) under Phaseolus vulgaris (common bean). RNAcentral's name for it is "long non-coding RNA (PVUL_LNC004025)". The record is from RNAcentral. Lineage: Eukaryota; Viridiplantae; Streptophyta; Magnoliopsida; Fabales; Fabaceae.
GUGGCUCGGUCCUUCGAGGGAUCCAAGACCUAACUACAUCAACAAAAUCAGAUCUUUUCUUAUCGGGGGUGUCCAUGGACUGUGAUUAAACCCAAGCCCUCUCAUUAUGAGUCCCUCAUUGACCAGCCUUGUUAACAUUCCAUCUAAUAUAUGAUGCCGGAAAGAAGCAUAUCCUGAUAAACAAAUAAAUACUCUUCAUAAAUUAAAAAACCAAGAAAAGUGCAAAAACAACACAUCUUUGCUCUAGUAAUCACCAUUUUUCCUUUAAAAGUAUAACUAUUUGAUAGACAACAAUAUUAAUUAUAUACUACUAAAGAAAUUGAGAUAGAAAUUCACUGAGUCUCAACUGCUGAAAAAUCAACACCUUCAUAAACCAUAACUAAUGAAAAAUACACUAGCAAGGAGUUAAAAUUUAAUGUUGAUCAAACUUAAAUAGUAAACAUACAAAGUAGUAUUAUUACUGCAAUCUUGCCCUCAAACAUGAAUCACUGAAAACAUUGGAAAGCCAAUAGCAACUAACAGAUAAUACAUAGUUAACAAAUGAAAUUGUUCAGACUAACUUCCAGAAAAAAGGCAGAGACAACCAUUGGCCACCGCCAUGGAAAGCAAAACCCCAUCAUCUCAGUUCAUAGGAUCUUAUUCAGCUCAGUUCGAUGCCUCAGUUCGCGCAUACACAGCAAGAAAAUUCAAUCAAAAACAACGACCCAGAUGCAAAAACACCAACCCCUCAAGCAGACAAGCGCAGAAUCAGUACAACCCUAAGCUGCUUCACAAAAUUUCUCCACUCUG